This 432-nucleotide ribosomal RNA is filed under the name uncultured bacterium. Its description in RNAcentral is "bacterial SSU rRNA". It matches the Rfam family "Bacterial small subunit ribosomal RNA", at positions 355 to 779 of the family's 1533-position model. The record is from RNAcentral.
UGGGGAAUAUUGCGCAAUGGGGGAAACCCUGACGCAGCGACGCCGCGUGAGCGAAGAAGGCCUUAGGGUUGUAAAGCUCUGUUUUAGGGGACGAAUGUUCAUAGGAGUAAUAUGCCUGUGAAAUGACGGUACCCUAAGAGGAAGCCCCGGCUAACUACGUGCCAGCAGCCGCGGUAAGACGUAGGGGCGAGCGUUGUCCGGAAUUACUGGGCGUAAAGAGCACGUAGGCGGGAACCUAAGUCAGGUGUGAAAGACCGUGGCUCAACCACGGGGUGGCAUUUGAAACUGGGUUUCUUGAGGGCAGGAGAGGAAAGCAGAAUUCCUGGUGUAGCGGUGAAAUGCGUAGAAAUCAGGAGGAAUACCAGUGGCGAAGGCGGCUUUCUGGACUGACCCUGACGCUGAGGUGCGAAAGCGUGGGUAGCAAACAGGAUU